CCCCUGGGGAACACCACUAAAAACAGGCCGCCAACCAGACUCUGUGCUGCUGAUCAUGACUCUCUGAGCUCUGCCAGUCAGCCAGUUCUCAACCCACCUCACUGUCCACUCAUCUAUCCCACAUUUCAAGAGCUUCAUUACAAGGACGCUGUGGGAGACAGUGUCUAAUACCUUGCUGAAGUCAAGCUGUUUGGAGAUGUUUAGCUCCAUCUUUUGGGUACACAGCACUGAGGUGUUCAGCAGUUGGCUCUGCCCCUCAAGGUGUGAGGUUUGGUUCCACCUGCUGCCUGGCUCGGGAAAUUCCAUGCUCUAUCGAUCAGCACAUGGAGUUGGUCUUCAUUGGCAGCUGCGUGCUUCGCCAUCCAGCUAUGUGCUGCAAGGAAGAACUCUGCUCCGUGAAGAUGACAGCAGGCUGAAAGCUCUCAAGAUCCUGUCACUCCUGGAGAUACAUGUCUAAAUAUCUGC
This 465-nucleotide long non-coding RNA is filed under the name Gallus gallus (chicken). RNAcentral's name for it is "lncRNA (ENSGALG00010016077.1)". The record is from RNAcentral. Lineage: Eukaryota; Metazoa; Chordata; Aves; Galliformes; Phasianidae.